RNAcentral lists this ribosomal RNA (1418 nucleotides) under wastewater metagenome. Its description in RNAcentral is "bacterial LSU rRNA". It matches the Rfam family "Bacterial large subunit ribosomal RNA", at positions 1068 to 2486 of the family's 2925-position model. The record is from RNAcentral.
AAACGAAGUGGGAAGGCUAAAACAGUCAGGAUGUUGGCUUAGAAGCAGCCAUCAUUUAAAGAAAGCGUAAUAGCUCACUGAUCGAGUCGUCCUGCGCGGAAGAUGUAACGGGGCUAAGCCAGUUACCGAAGCUGCGGAUUUGCAAUUUAUUGCAAGUGGUAGGAGAGCGUUCUGUAAGCCUGUGAAGGUGCGUUGUAAAGCGUGCUGGAGGUAUCAGAAGUGCGAAUGCUGACAUGAGUAGCGUUAAAGGGGGUGAAAAGCCCCCUCGCCGUAAGCGCAAGGUUUUCUACGCAACGUUCAUCGGCGUAGAGUGAGUCGGCCCCUAAGGCGAGGCAGAGAUGCGUAGCUGAUGGGAAACAGGUCAAUAUUCCUGUACCGAUGUGUAGUGCGAUGUGGGGACGGAGAAGGUUAGCUCAGCCAACUGUUGGACAUGUUGGUUCAAGCCUGUAGUCGUGCCUGGUAGGCAAAUCCGCCGGGCUUAGAUGAGGGGUGAUAACGAGUCUGCUUGCAGACGAAGUGAGUGAUACCCUGCUUCCAGGAAAAGCCACUAAGCUUCAGCUACACACGACCGUACCGCAAACCGACACUGGUGCGCGAGAUGAGUAUUCUAAGGCGCUUGAGAGAACUCAGGAGAAGGAACUCGGCAAAUUGACACCGUAACUUCGGAAGAAGGUGUGCCUUUAGUAUGUGAACCUGUACAAGGGGAGCAGAAUGAGGCCUCAGAGAAUCGGUGGCUGCGACUGUUUAAUAAAAACACAGCACUCUGCAAACACGAAAGUGGACGUAUAGGGUGUGACGCCUGCCCGGUGCUGGAAGAUUAAAUGAUGGGGUGCAAGCUCUUGAUUGAAGUCCCAGUAAACGGCGGCCGUAACUAUAACGGUCCUAAGGUAGCGAAAUUCCUUGUCGGGUAAGUUCCGACCUGCACGAAUGGCGUAACGAUGGCCACACUGUCUCCUCCUGAGACUCAGCGAAGUUGAAAUGUUUGUGAUGAUGCAAUCUCCCCGCGGAAAGACGGAAAGACCCCAUGAACCUUUACUGUAGCUUUGUAUUGGACUUUGAACAGAUCUGUGUAGGAUAGGUGGGAGGCUUUGAAGCCGGAACGCUAGUUUCGGUGGAGCCAACGUUGAAAUACCACCCUGGUGUGUUUGAGGUUCUAACCUAGGUCCAUUAUCUGGAUCGGGGACAGUGCAUGGUAGGCAGUUUGACUGGGGCGGUCUCCUCCCAAAGCGUAACGGAGGAGUUCGAAGGUACGCUAGUUACGGUCGGACAUCGUGACGAUAGUGCAAUGGCAUAAGCGUGCUUAACUGCGAGACUGACAAGUCGAGCAGAUACGAAAGUAGGACAUAGUGAUCCGGUGGUUCUGUAUGGAAGGGCCAUCGCUCAACGGAUAAAAGGUACUCUGGGGAUAACAGGCUGAU